CGGCAACAGCUUAAAACUCAAAGGACUUGGCGGUGCUUUAUAUCCCUCUAGAGGAGCCUGUUCUAUAAUCGAUAAACCCCGAUAAACCUCACCAAUUCUUGCUAAUUCAGUCUAUAUACCGCCAUCUUCAGCAAACCCUAAAAAGGAAUAAAAGUAAGCACAAUAAUAACACAUAAAAACGUUAGGUCAAGGUGUAACCUAUGAAAUGGAAAGAAAUGGGCUACAUUUUCUAUAUUAAGAA
Molecule: ribosomal RNA, 241 nt
Filed under: Boselaphus tragocamelus (nilgai)
Lineage: Eukaryota; Metazoa; Chordata; Mammalia; Artiodactyla; Bovidae
Description: partial 12S ribosomal RNA
Source: RNAcentral